CAGCUCCUCAACAGGAUUUGGAAGAUACCCCCGAAAAAGGGAAGAAAAGGGAAAAAAAGAAAACCCCAACCCCAAGCCCCAAUUUUGGUGCAAACCCCAGCCUGAAGAACUUUUGGGGGCUGUAAAUAUUUCGUCACCUUCUCGGGGAUUCCAAGGGCCCCGGUUGUCUUGAAAACCUCCAAGAAACGGCAUAAAAAUAUUUACUUCCAAAAAAAAAUAAAA
Molecule: long non-coding RNA, 222 nt
Organism: Harpia harpyja (harpy eagle)
Lineage: Eukaryota; Metazoa; Chordata; Aves; Accipitriformes; Accipitridae
Exons: 2
Source: RefSeq, a predicted model, not a curated record